AUGAGUAUUAACUGGUGUGUAUUUGCAUAUUCCAUGUCCCUAUGUAUAUAUUUUAGGAACACGCAGAGUCUCAGAGAACAAGAUUUUACAAAUGUAUGCACACCUGGAAAUACAUCCAUUCAACCUUGUGGAAUAGUGGAAAGAGCUCUGGACAACAUGGAAGAACAAACUGUAUUCACUUUCUGGAUCUUCCCCUUCCUAGAUUUAAUGUGGCCUCGAUUCCCUUGAUUACAGAUGUGACUCCCUUCUACUGGCCAUCAAUCCUUCAUUCCAAAUAAGAAGUGGUGAAAUGUGAAGGAGAAAGGCUCAGGUGAGCUGAAUCUAUCCUGUUUUAUCAAGAAAAUAACAGCUGUCCCAGUAGUGUUUCCUGGUGACUUCCUUUGACUCAUUAGGACAGUGUGGUAUGACUGCCCUUUUUAUAAGGUAGCCUGGGGAAUUGAUGUGAAUUUUAGCUGCAGACAAUGACACCAUGCACAAAAGUGGGGUUCUAUGAAAAGCACGGCUAUAUUUGUGCCAGGCAUCAGUAUCUGACACCAGAACAAUAUUUGGGAAAAUGAGAGCUGUAGCUCAGUAAAAAAUUAAGAGAGUGAUCUAUGAAGCUUAGAAAGAGAUGGUUCUCAUUGAAAAAUACACUUGGCAACUAGCUAAAAAAAGGAUCAUAAGGGAGUCAUACUCAAACACUUAAGUACAUUCUCUGUUAACCUCCCUGUUGGUCUAAUUACUUGGGUGCCAAAGAGUAGUAUCCUACUAAUAACUAAAAGAUACUUUUUUUUUUUGCUUUUUUUUUUUUUUUUUUUUUUUUUUGCUUUUUAGAGCCACACUUGCAGCAUAUGGAAGUUGCCAGGCUAGGGGUUGGAUCAGAGUUACAGCCACCGGCCUACCCCACAGCCACAGCAACGUGGGAUCCGAGCUGUGUCUGCAACCUAUACCACGUCUCAUGGCAACAUCACAACCCCAAUCCACUGAGUGAGGCCAGGGAUUGAACCCACAUCCUUAUGGAUACUAGUCGGAUUCAUUUCCACUGCACAACAGGAACUCCCAAAAAUACGAUUUAUACUGCAAUAAAAGGGCUACUUAGGACA
RNAcentral lists this long non-coding RNA (1082 nucleotides) under Sus scrofa (pig). RNAcentral's name for it is "lncRNA (ENSSSCG00050032602.1)". Lineage: Eukaryota; Metazoa; Chordata; Mammalia; Artiodactyla; Suidae. The record is from RNAcentral.